GACGAACGCUGGCGGCGUGCUUAACACAUGCAAGUCGAACGGAAAGGCCCUGCUUUUGUGGGGUGCUCGAGUGGCGAACGGGUGAGUAACACGUGAGUAACCUGCCCUUGACUUUGGGAUAACUUCAGGAAACUGGGUCUAAUACCGGCUAGGAGCUCCUGCUUCAUGGUGGGGGUUGGAAAGUUUCGGCGGUUGGUGAUGGACUCGCGGCUUAUCAGCUUGUUGGUGGGGUAGUGGAUUAGCAAGGCUUUGACCGGUAGCAGGCCUGAGCGGGUGAGCGGCCACAUUGGGACUGAGCUGAGGCACAGACUCCUACGGGAGGGAGCGGUGGGGAAUAUUGCACAAUGGGCGGAAGCCUGAUGCAGCAACGCAGCGUGCGGGAUGACGGGCUUCGGGUUGUAAACCGAUUUCGCCUGUGACGAAGCGUGAGUGACGGUAAUGGGUAAAGAAGCACCGGCUAACUACGUG
Molecule: ribosomal RNA, 468 nt
Filed under: uncultured bacterium
Lineage: Bacteria
Description: partial 16S ribosomal RNA
Rfam family: Bacterial small subunit ribosomal RNA
Source: RNAcentral